CGCUAUCACUCCUACGGGAGGCAGCAGUGGGGAAUAUUGCACAAUGGGCGCAAGCCUGAUGCAGCCAUGCCGCGUGUAUGAAGAAGGCCUUCGGGUUGUAAAGUACUUUCAGCAGUGAGGAAGGUGGUGUCGUUAAUAGCGGCAUCAUUUGACGUUAGCUGCAGAAGAAGCACCGGCUAACUCCGUGCCAGCAGCCGCGGUAAUACGGAGGGUGCGAGCGUUAAUCGGAAUUACUGGGCGUAAAGCGCAUGCAGGCGGCCUGUUAAGUCAGAUGUGAAAGCCCGGGGCUUAACCUCGGAAUUGCAUUUGAAACUGGCAGGCUAGAGUCUUGUAGAGGGGGUAGAAUUUCAGGUGUAGCGGUGAAAUGCGUAGAGAUCUGAAGGAAUACCAGUGGCGAAGGCGGCCCCCUGGACAAAGACUGACGCUCAGAUGCGAAAGCGUGGGGAGCAAACAGGAUUAGAUACCCUGGUAG
RNAcentral lists this ribosomal RNA (472 nucleotides) under uncultured bacterium. RNAcentral describes it as "bacterial SSU rRNA". It matches the Rfam family "Bacterial small subunit ribosomal RNA", at positions 328 to 793 of the family's 1533-position model. The record is from RNAcentral.